GAUGAACGCUGGCGGCGUGCCUAAUACAUGCAAGUCGAGCGAACAGACGAGGAGCUUGCUCCUCUGACGUUAGCGGCGGACGGGUGAGUAACACGUGGAUAACCUACCUAUAAGACUGGGAUAACUUCGGGAAACCGGAGCUAAUACCGGAUAAUAUAUUGAACCGCAUGGUUCAAUUAUGAAAGGAGGGUUUUGUGUCCCUUUAUGAUGGGUCCGCGCCGCAUUAGCUAGUUGGUAAGGUAACGGCUUACCAAGGCGACGAUGCGUAGCCGACCUGAGAGGGUGAUCGGCCACACUGGAACUGAGACACGGUCCAGACUCCUACGGGAGGCAGCAGUAGGGAAUCUUCCGCAAUGGGCGAAAGCCUGACGGAGCAACGCCGCGUGAGUGAUGAAGGUCUUCGGAUCGUAAAACUCUGUUAUUAGGGAAGAACAAAUGUGUAAGUAACUAUGCACGUCUUGACGGUACCUAAUCAGAAAGCCACGGCUAACUACGUG
This 497-nucleotide ribosomal RNA is filed under the name uncultured bacterium. RNAcentral describes it as "partial 16S ribosomal RNA". It matches the Rfam family "Bacterial small subunit ribosomal RNA", at positions 28 to 507 of the family's 1533-position model. The record is from RNAcentral.